AUGGAGGACGAAGGCGUGGAGGCUCGGGACGAUGGCGCCACGGAGUUCGCCAAGAUGACGCCAAUGUCAACAACAUCAACCUUGUGCCGCAAGGAUCAUGACGGGGAGCUCACAAUAAGGACGCCCGCCAUCCACUUCGUCAUGCUGGAGCUAGAGGACGGAGGCGUGGCACCCAUUGAGGAUGCCGCCGACAUCUACUUCGUCAAGCUGGAGCAUGUAGGGAUGGUGCCGCGUGCCGCGGAGGAUGCCAAGACAGAGCUCGCUAGGACGACGCCCGUCAUCUUCUUCAUCAAGUCGGCGCCAUGGAGGACAAAGGCGUGGAGGCUCGCAACAAUUCCGCCACCGUGCCGCCUUGGAUGGCGGCGCGGAGCUUGCCAAGACGCAGCACCAACACCCGGUACCGCGGAGAAUCGUGGCAUGCAACUCGCAAGGAGGACACCACCAACGUCAACAUCAUCAAGUUGGACCGGAGGCAUGGAGCUCGCGGGACAUCACCACCAAGUCUACCUCGUCAUGAUGGAGCCCGCAACACGGAGCCAAGAAUAUAACACACAUCCUUGGUGCUGUCCAUGA
RNAcentral lists this ribosomal RNA (573 nucleotides) under Triticum aestivum (bread wheat). RNAcentral describes it as "partial small subunit ribosomal RNA". Lineage: Eukaryota; Viridiplantae; Streptophyta; Magnoliopsida; Poales; Poaceae. The record is from RNAcentral.